Molecule: unclassified non-coding RNA, 355 nt
Filed under: Hevea brasiliensis (rubber tree)
Lineage: Eukaryota; Viridiplantae; Streptophyta; Magnoliopsida; Malpighiales; Euphorbiaceae
Source: RNAcentral
GAAAUUGUGCUUGUUGAUGUGGUUUUCUUCAUCGGCGAGAGUAAGAACUUCACUCUCAUCCACAUAGUCGAUACCAAUGGCUUCGAGAAUCUGAGCUUCAACGAAAUGACCGAUUCGAGCCUUCGCCAUCACCGGAAUCGUAACAGCUUGUUUGAUUUCCUUGAUGAGUUGAGGGUCACUCAUUCUGGCGACGCCGCCCUGGGCUCGGAUAUCUGCAGGAACUCUCUCAAGAGCCAUGACGGCGCAAGCUCCGGCCUCUUCGGCGACACGAGCCUGCUCGGCGUUGACGACGUCCAUAAUUACGCCGCCGCGGAGCAUUUGAGCCAAUCCAACUUUCACAGAGAAGGGGGAUUGC